AUUCUAUGAAUGUCUUCUCCCUCCUCUCUCCCUUUCAUCAUCUUCCUCGCCCUGUAAAUAAUCUCAGCUCAAGCAUCAUCUGCACUAGAAAGCUUUCCUGAUGCCCACCUUCCCCAGGGGCUCUAUACCCCCCUUUCUUUGUGCACUCACUGAACUGGGUAGACACAUUUAUGAUGGUGCCUUACAGCUGUGCAUGGCCUGCUUGCCUGCUUGUGCGUGCCUGCUGGCCUGGCUCUGUGCCGCUGAUCUCAGAACCCCAGCCCAGUACGGUGCCUCACCCUCAGUAGGGAAUUGGGAGGUGAGGGAUGAAUCCUUGAGUCUCUCCUAGGUCACUGACACGGCUGCUCACUGGUUUCUCCUCUCCAGCUGAGAUCACAUUGCCCUCCUUACAAACUCCCGACGGCUCCUCACUGCCCACUGAAGAAAAUGCAACACCUUGGGGCACCCGAGAGCCUCCACAAUAUGAUACCAGCUCACCGUUUUAGCCUCAUCUCUCCUUGUAUCCUUUCCCAGGACCACUUGUCCAGCCCUAAACAGGCCAGGCUCCCCCACCUUUGCCCCUGCUAUUCUUUUAAACUAAAAUUCCUUUCUCCAUCUCUACCUAAGGAGUGCCUACAAAAUAAUUUCUAUUCAUCCUUACACUAGCUCAAAAGCCAAUGAUGCUCUGAUGUGCUCAUCAAAAUCUCUGUUAGGAGUAUCUGCUAUCUCAUAUGCCCUAGGGUUCCUGUCUGUCCCUGCAGCUACGCAAUGGAAGCUCCAUGAAGGCGGAGGUCGUGCCUUACAACUUAAUUUUGGAGGCCCUCAUGGAGGGGCUGUUGAUUUAAAAUGAUUUGGAAAAGAAAAAGUCAAUGUUCUCUUCCAAAUGAAGGGCUAUUCAAGUUACUGUGAAUGGUUUUAAUACAGAAAAUGAGAGAAACGGGAUCCAAAAAAAUGGAGUGAAAUGGGAUAAGUUACCAAUCGAGCAAAGAAUGAAACCAUAAAAGUAGAAUUUGCUUUAAGAUAAACAUUGAGGCAUUGAAUAUCUGAGAUUUCUGUUUCCUUGUUUUAUGAGCACGGGAUUGUAGGAGAGUUAGCGAGCACCUUUAAGCUUUUAUGUGGGCUCUUUGGCUAGAACUAGAAACCAAAUGGACACCAAGCAGAUUAGCAAGGUAAAAGCAUACUAAUUGUAUUAGUUUUAAUGAACACAGGUGUCAUGCCAGACCUCUGUUGACUGCAAGAGGAAUGGCACAAUGUUUGAGAGCCCAAAUAAGAGACCCAUAGCCAGCAAACAAGACACAGGGUUUUAUUAGGGAGAACUUACACACAUGGAUAGUCCAGAGGUGGAAAGCUGAACAGGAAACCACAACUGCUUGAAAAAAGCAUGUCGUUUAUACUGCACCUUCCCUUAGCACCCUCCCUCCCUCAGCCUCCAUGUGGCAACCCUCAUUUCUUAAGUCAUUGCUGGCAGGUGCAUCUGCCAUAUAGGGUCAUUCUCAGGGUGUGAUUAAGUUAGAGCUGUCAGAUGCAACUACCAUGCACAGGAGAUCUUUGCAAGAGAAUGAAAUCCAAAGAAGUGGCCAAAGCAAGAUGCCUUUAUACUUUUUAGACAAAGAACAAUGAAUUUGAGAAGAAAUGACAGGAUAAAAGGGAUCUGGCUGGGGCAGUAGAUUUUAAGGGAGUCAUAGGAGCUAUAUGGGCUGAUGUAAAACUAGUGGACAAGAAGGAUUACUUUGGUAAAUAUUUAUUUAGGUCCACUGCAGCCCUAAUUUCCCAGUCUCUGGUAAUAAGGACUAUUUUAUUACCCUAGUACAGGGAGUCCCCUCUCCAAGAGGAAGCUCUGUGGCUUGCUACAUGCAGGGGGAGACACGACAACUGGCCCUUUCUGAAACUACAAUUUCUUCAAUGUUUAUAACUCAAAAUAAUCAAUAUACGAAUUUGGCAUAUUUUGAGAUUGCACAUCUUUCACUCCUUUAGAAUUCAAAGUCACAGGUGUUAGUUCUGUCCUUGAUAUUGGCUCAGAUAAGCUUGGUGAUCGUCAGCAAACGCUUCUGAUCUUUAAUAUCCUCCUCCUUAAAAUGAAUACAAGAAUCAGUAGAAACAAUAGCUACCAAAGAGCUGUAAAAAGUUGAGUUCGUAGGGGCUCUAGAAAUGUAAGGCAUUUGUGAAUGUGGUGUAAUUUUUUUAACAAAUAAAUAUUAAUUGAGCUUCAGUUAUGUGCCAGGUGCUAGAGGCAGUGAGCUAGGAGAAACCAGACAAAUAUCUUGAGCGGCAUCUGCUUGCUUCCUUCCUUGCAGGUAUAUACUUAUACUUUUGCAAUUUGUUUCUGCCCUUCAGUGACAUCAGUGCAUAAUGCCAGGUGCCCUCUCUUGUCUGCGAUAGGGAAAGAGAGAAAGGAGCCCACAUAGCUCCCCACAUAUUCCCUGUGCCCAACCCUGCCAAGCCCUUCACUGUACAAACACAGAGGGAAGGCGGAGGAAGGAGAGAUCAUGGGCUAUUAAUGCUCUGGGAAGAAUGCAAACCAGUCUGUUCAUACCACCAGUCAUAGUGAGCUGUGACCAUGAUCACAAUGCUCGCUUGACAUUAGAAUCAGUAUAUUUGUAAGUAGAUCAGGAGCUUCUCCCAUAGUUACAGCCUUUUGAUCUUUCUUACCCAUCAGAAGGAAAGGCAAGACACCAUCAAGUGAGGCACCUGGGCCAAAGGUACUAUGAUGCAGUCCAGUGCCUGAGGAAUAAAACCGCCUCCACCCUAAAUGCUGCACUCAGAUGGGAAUGGAGGGGGUACUUGGACAUUGCUAGAAUCAUUCAUUCAAUCACGCAUUCAAAAAAUUCCUUCAAAAUAGUGCAGCUUAGUGGUUAAAACACUGACCUUUUUGCUGCAUAAACCUGGGUUCAAAACUUAGCUCCACCCUUUAUAAGAUAUGGGACCUUAAGGAAGUUGCAGAAUCUCCCUAAAUGUGCCACUUCAUCCAAAAACUAGGAUAACACUAAUAGCUACCCUUAGAACCGUGGGAGGGGUUAAAUGUUACGGAGCUCUUAGCACUGUGCCUUGCACCUGCUAAGCAUAUAAUGAAUAAUAAUUGUUAUUAUAAUCAUCAGUAGCACUCAUAUGUUCCAGCACCAUCCUAAAUACUAGGCCCAAAGAGUUAGGAAAAAAAAGUUACUGCACUCGGGUAGGCAAAUAACUCACUAUAAUACAACACGGUAAGUAUUACAACAGAGCUAGGAACAAAAAUGUGGGAGAAAAGGGUUCGGGGAGAGGGGUGGUGGCUUCCUAGAAGAGACAGUGUUUUCACUGAGUCUUAGAGAAUAAGCAGGGAUUUCACCAGGAGAAAAAGAGAGAAUAAGGUAAGGCAUUCCAGGCAGAGAAAAUGUCCAAACAAAGGAGGAGGAAAGGAGCAAAGUGAGUCGAGACAGCUGCACACAGUGCAUCCUGGUCCUCCCUCCUCUCUAGUACGCUGCAGAGAGUCACCUUGUUCUGCUCAGAAAACACGACCUGGGCUGUGCUGGGCUGAGAGAAGAGAAGGAAGUGCCCAGGACUCUGGCACUCUUUUUGCUGCCUGGAAUUCACCCUUCAGCCAUUCCAGAUGCCGAUUGCCAGGGGGAAGAGCAGAGUUGCCAAGGUCCCAGCUGAGGGAAAUGAGAGGGCACAGCCUCCCCAGAGCUGGCAGGGGAAGCUUCCCUGGGGAAGCGGAGUCAGCUCCGGCGCAGCAACCACUGCAGGAGCAGCCAGGGAGCUGCAGCACGGCCAGCCAGGCCGGCCCGCCAGCCUCCACCACAACAAUCGCUAUUUACUUUGGAUGCCGGCCGUCCUCACAAUUCACACACAAGAUUUAUCACCAGAAAUUUUUCAUCUGCACUGCCGAGACUGAGUGGUUGGAUGGCAAGCAUGUGGUCUUGGGCAAGGUGAAAGAAGGCAUGAAUACUGUGGAGGCCAUGGAGCACUCUGGGUCCAGGAAUGGCAAGACCAGCAAGAAGAUCACCAUUGCUGACCGUGGACAACUCUAAUAAGGUUGACUUGUGUUUUAUCUUAACCACUAGAUUAUUCCUUCCGUAGCUCAGGAGAGUACCCCUCCACCCCAUUUGCUUGUAGUAUCCUAGAAUCUUUGUGCUCUCACUGCAGUUCCCUUUGGGUUCCGUGUUUUCCUUGUUCCCUUCUAUGCCUAGCUAGACUGCAGAGUUAAGUUUAUGAUUAUGAAAUAAAAACUAAAUAACAA
This is a long non-coding RNA of Sapajus apella (tufted capuchin), 4192 nucleotides long. RefSeq lists it as uncharacterized. The record is from RefSeq and is a predicted model, not a curated record. NCBI's taxonomy places the organism in Eukaryota, Metazoa, Chordata, Mammalia, Primates, Cebidae. The transcript is spliced from 2 exons.